AAAGUUUUAUUUUAGCUUAAAAUUUAUUUAAUUUAUAUUUUAUAUGUAAAUUUUUGUACGGAUUAUAAUUAUUCUAAAAGAAUAAUUAAAGUAUUUUAUUCGCAGUAUUUAAUAUUAUAAAUAAAAGAAAUUUUGAUUUAGUAAUAAAUUUUAUUAUAGGAUAAAUUUGUGCCAGCAUCUGCGGUUAUACAAAUUAUAAAAAUAAAUUGUAUUAGUUUGUAGUUAAUUUGUUAUUAAUUAGAAUAAAAAUUAAAUUUUUAGGUUAAAUUUUAAAUUUAUUAUUAUUUUAAUUUUAAUUUAGUAAAGCUAUAAAAUUUUUAAUAUAAACUAGGAUUAGAUACCCUAUUAUAUAAAAUAUAAAAUUUAAAACUUAGGUAUUAAUAGUUAUGUUCUUUAAACUUAAAAAAUUUGGCGGUGUUUUAAUCUAUUUAGAGGAACCUGUUCCGUAAUUGAUAAUCCACGUUAAAUUUUACUAAAUUUUACUAAAUUUGUAUACCGUCGUUAUCAGAUUAUCUUAUAAGAGAAUAAUAUUCAUAAAUUUUAAUUAAAUUUUAUUUCAGAUCAAGGUGCAGUUUAUAAUUUAGAGGAAAUGGGUUACAAUAAAAAUAUUUUUGGAUAAAUUUUUGAAAUAAAGUUUUUAAAUUGGAUUUAAUAGUAAUUUUAAUUAAAUUAUUAAAAUGAUUUUAGUUCUAAAACAUGUACAUAUCGCCCGUCGCUCUUUCUUUUAAAGAAAGAUAAGUCGUAACAAAGUAGAUGUACUGGAAAGUGUAUCUAGAAUGAU
RNAcentral lists this non-coding RNA (781 nucleotides) under Hemerobius japonicus. Lineage: Eukaryota; Metazoa; Arthropoda; Insecta; Neuroptera; Hemerobiidae. The record is from RNAcentral.